CGAAGGGGGCUAGCGUUGCUCGGAAUCACUGGGCGUAAAGGGUGCGUAGGCGGGUCUUUAAGUCAGGGGUGAAAUCCUGGAGCUCAACUCCAGAACUGCCUUUGAUACUGAAGAUCUUGAGUUCGGGAGAGGUGAGUGGAACUGCGAGUGUAGAGGUGAAAUUCGUAGAUAUUCGCAAGAACACCAGUGGCGAAGGCGGCUCACUGGCCCGAUACUGACGCUGAGGCACGAAAGCGUGGGGAGCAAACAGGAUUAGGUACCCUGGUAGUCCACGCCGUAAACGAUGAAUGCCAGCCGUUAGUGGGUUUACUCACUAGUGGCGCAGCUAACGCUUUAAGCAUUCCGCCUGGGGAGUACGGUCGCAAGAUUA
RNAcentral lists this ribosomal RNA (370 nucleotides) under uncultured organism. Its description in RNAcentral is "bacterial SSU rRNA". It matches the Rfam family "Bacterial small subunit ribosomal RNA", at positions 526 to 896 of the family's 1533-position model. The record is from RNAcentral.